AAGGUCUUGACCCCGCUGGUCCUCUAUGGAACUUGAACUCCAACCGCAUCAACUCUGGUGACGCCAGAUACGUCGAAGCUAUCCACACUAACGGCGCCAUAACCGGUCUUGGCAUCGGAACUGCCGUGGGUCAUGCUGACUUCUUCCCCAACGGUGGAAACUCACAACCUGGCUGUCUCACUUACAUCUGUGACCACAACCGUGCCUGGGAGUUCUUUGCCGCGACUGUCUCUUACGACCAUUUGGUCGGCAGAGAAUGCUCAAGCUCUCUCCAGAUUACCCUCAACACGUGCCGUGGAGGAGAAUUCCGCAUGGGCAAUGAUGAUUUGACCAAAUUUGGACAAGGAAGAUACCGCCUGAGCACCCGCCGACGAUACCCCUACUAAUCGAAAUGGAUUCCGAAAUAAAAUCUUGAUUUAUUAUCA
Molecule: long non-coding RNA, 425 nt
Organism: Amyelois transitella
Lineage: Eukaryota; Metazoa; Arthropoda; Insecta; Lepidoptera; Pyralidae
Exons: 2
Source: RefSeq, a predicted model, not a curated record